UGGUAUUGGGCAUGGAGGCAACUCUGACCCAGCCAUGCCGCGUGAAGGAAGAAGGUUUAUGGAUUGUAAACUUCUUUUAUUUGGGAAGAACCUUUCUACGUGUAGAAAGCUGACGGUACCAAACGAAUAAGGACCGGCUAACUCCGUGCCAGCAGCCGCGGUAAUACGGAGGGUCCAAGCGUUAUCCGGAAUCAUUGGGUUUAAAGGGUGCGCAGGCGGUUUAAUAAGUCAGUGGUGAAAUCUCGGGGCUUAACCUCGAAACUGCCAUUGAUACUGUUAGACUUGAGUUCAGUUGGAGUAGGCGGAAUGUGUAGUGUAGCGGUGAAAUGCUUAGAUAUUACACAGAACACCGAUAGCGAAGGCAGCUUACUAAACUGAUACUGACGCUGAGGCACGAAAGCGUGGGGAGCGAACAGGAUUAGAUACCCUGGUAGUCCACGCCGUAAACUAUGAUUACUCGAUAUUGGCGAUAUACAGUCAGUGUCUAAGCGAAAGUGAUAAGUAAUCCACCUGGGGAGUACGGCGCAAGAUUGAAACUCAAA
Molecule: ribosomal RNA, 542 nt
Filed under: uncultured bacterium
Lineage: Bacteria
Description: bacterial SSU rRNA
Rfam family: Bacterial small subunit ribosomal RNA
Source: RNAcentral